UACGUAGGGGGCAAGCGUUGUCCGGAUUUAUUGGGCGUAAAGAGCGUGUAGGCGGUUUGGUAGGUCCGCUGUGAAAACUCGAGCUCAACCUCGAGACGCCGGUGGAAACCAUCAGACUAGAGUCCGGAAGAGGAGAGUGGAAUUCCUGGUGUAGCGGGUGAAAUGCGCAGAUAUCAGGAAGAACACCCGUGGCUAAGGCGGCUCUCUAGUACGGUACUGACGCUGAGACGCGAAAGCGUGGGGAGCGAACAGG
RNAcentral lists this ribosomal RNA (253 nucleotides) under uncultured bacterium. Its description in RNAcentral is "partial 16S ribosomal RNA". It matches the Rfam family "Bacterial small subunit ribosomal RNA", at positions 524 to 776 of the family's 1533-position model. The record is from RNAcentral.